This 353-nucleotide long non-coding RNA is filed under the name Malus domestica (apple). Its description in RNAcentral is "long non-coding RNA (MDOM_LNC014325)". Lineage: Eukaryota; Viridiplantae; Streptophyta; Magnoliopsida; Rosales; Rosaceae. The record is from RNAcentral.
GAUCUUACAUGAAUUAUCACCUGAGUCUGAGUGAAAAUUAGGUCCCUAAACUAAUUUUUUUUCCAGAAAAAUCAGUCAUUGAAUUAUAAAAAUCUAUCAAUCACAUCCAUAAUAUUAUAUUCGAACUACUAUAUUCAAUUUUCCAUCAAUUUAAGUCACGUUACUUGCAUGUGAUACACAUUAGAGGGUAGAUUGGUAAUUUUAUCAUAAAGAAAUAGUGCAUUGAGUUGCCUUUAGAGUGUAAAUUAUACAUUAAAUUCGCAACCUGUAUGAAAUGUUAAGGGCAUAUAGGUGAGAAAAUGAUGAUAUUGCACUCUAAAGUGUGUCAAAAGACUUAAGUUGAAAAAUUGGAU